This 484-nucleotide long non-coding RNA is filed under the name Homo sapiens (human). RNAcentral's name for it is "HSALNT0003055". The record is from RNAcentral. Lineage: Eukaryota; Metazoa; Chordata; Mammalia; Primates; Hominidae.
GAUCGAAGCCCUGAGUCUGGCAUCAGAGCACUCACGGGGUGAGCUUGUAAAAUGAACACACUCCUUCAGCAGCUGUGGCGUCAUUAAUUCUCUGGCCCCAUCCUUGGUGAGGCCUCGGGCCCGAGGUCGGGCUCCUCUGACGGCCCUGGCAGGAGGCUUUUCAAGCUCCUAAUCCACUUGGCAGUUGUUUGAACUCUCAGAAAUUAUGCCUUCUCAUCUCGUCCUAAUGAACUCGUAAGCCCGGUUAACGCCAGAGGAGACAGUGCUUGUUCUUUCCGGCUGUGUCCGAGACAGAAGCUCAAGCCUUCCGAACACUCCUUUCCCUUUCUCUUCUGGGCCUCAGUUUCCCCGCCUGUGCAGUGGAGGCUCGGAGUCUCUGGCAUGGAAGGACUCUUCCAACUCAGACAUUCCAGAACAGGGACAGUGCCAUCCCCUACAAAUAGAAGGUGAGCCACGUGUGUCAUUUUAAAUUGCCUAAUAGCCG